AUGAGGAGGACACAGCCGGGCGCGGCUGCACCCUCGGCAGCUUGGGCAGCCUCCCCCACUCCUCUCUCUGCUACAGGCCAGGCGGCAGCGGCUCCUUCCCGGCGCGGCGCGGCCUCCGGCAAAGGGGGGGGGGGGCGGGGACCGAGAUGGAGGAGGGAGAGGCUAAGGACCCGCGCGGGUGCACGCUCGUUAGCGCACAAGUGGCACGGCCGCGCGAGCCUGUGUGAUGGCAGUGCGCGGGAAUGCCUGUGCCUGCGUGCCGGGGUCGCGGGGAAGGCCCGCGGAGGCCGUGGGCAGGGAGCGAGUGGGCUGUGGGAAGGGGAGUGGGUUUGCCAGGGCGCAUCUCUCUCUGGGCAGGCACACAACCACGGGCGCCGUGGCCGCGUCCCACGCUCAGCUUCCCCCGCGGAAGCGCCGAGAGGGGCAGGCUACUCUCUUCUCCCGCAAGCCCGGCUCUGCCAGCGCAGGCAGCCACAGGCUCGCAGGCCACGCGGGCAAGGCUCUCUCCACCCCACCCCCACUCCACCCCCUCCUCGUAGGGACUCGCCAGGCGCCCUCCGAGGCGACCGGGCGUCUCUCUGCCGAAGCCCAAGGCGUCCCGAGCAACCCAGAGGCCCGGUGGGCUUUGAAAGAGCCGCGGGCGGGGUUCACAACCCCGCACACGGAGCACCUGGACGCGUCGGCUUCCCUCCUCGCUCCCUGCCCCUUCCUCGGCCCCGGAACCUUGCAAAGGGGGAAAGAGAAAGAAAAAGAAAGAGAGAGAAGGGCCGGGCUGUGCUGCGCGUCUCGCCCUCUGGUCGGCAAGGGCACUCACCUGGUCCAGUGCGCGCCGUGCUGUGCCGCGGGGCUCCUGCGCGGUCCUGCGCUCCUCAGCGCCUGCCUCCCACGCCCACCGCCCUAGCUCGCUCCCCGGCGCUAGGAGGUUGGCGAAGGAGGGCGUGCGUGCGAGCCCCUCGGGCUGGCAGCCAGGCGCGCGACGGCCGCCCCGGCCCGAGCUCCCCGCCCGCGCCGUCUGCUUUCCGGAACCUGGCCUGGCGCGCAGUGUCAGAGGCCCCCGCGGCGGCGGCAGGCCGAGCCCACCGGGGCACGAGGCCAACUCCCCCCGCGCCGCGGAAUUCUCUAUUAUUAUUAUUAAAGAAUCCCCCAGAAGGUGUUUACGUUCAGCCGUGUAAACUUCCUGCCAGGGCCUUGCCAUCUCUCGGGGAAAUUGGGAACUCCGGGGCCGAGGGGCCAAACAGGAGGAUUUUCAGUGUCUGUGUGUGUGUUGGGGGACAGGCAGUGCGUGUGAGUUCAGACCAAGCCUGGCGUGUGUACGCGUGCACCCCGUGUGCCUGA
Molecule: long non-coding RNA, 1335 nt
Organism: Oryctolagus cuniculus (rabbit)
Lineage: Eukaryota; Metazoa; Chordata; Mammalia; Lagomorpha; Leporidae
Source: Ensembl